This 1723-nucleotide long non-coding RNA is filed under the name Homo sapiens (human). Its description in RNAcentral is "non-protein coding XIST:69". Lineage: Eukaryota; Metazoa; Chordata; Mammalia; Primates; Hominidae. The record is from RNAcentral.
GUGUCUUGUCUUAGACAUAUCUCUCAUUUUUCAUUUUGUUGCUAUUUCUCUUUGCUCUCCUAGAUGUGGCUCUUCUUUCACGCUUUAUUUCAUGUCUCCUUUUUGGGUCACAUGCUGUGUGCUUUUUGUCCUUUUCUUGUUCUGUCUACCUCUCCUUUCUCUGCCUACCUCUCUUUUCUCUUUGUGAACUGUGAUUAUUUGUUACCCCUUCCCCUUCUCGUUCGUUUUAAAUUUCACCUUUUUUCUGAGUCUGGCCUCCUUUCUGCUGUUUCUACUUUUUAUCUCACAUUUCUCAUUUCUGCAUUUCCUUUCUGCCUCUCUUGGGCUAUUCUCUCUCUCCUCCCCUGCGUGCCUCAGCAUCUCUUGCUGUUUGUGAUUUUCUAUUUCAGUAUUAAUCUCUGUUGGCUUGUAUUUGUUCUCUGCUUCUUCCCUUUCUACUCACCUUUGAGUAUUUCAGCCUCUUCAUGAAUCUAUCUCCCUCUCUUUGAUUUCAUGUAAUCUCUCCUUAAAUAUUUCUUUGCAUAUGUGGGCAAGUGUACGUGUGUGUGUGUCAUGUGUGGCAGAGGGGCUUCCUAACCCCUGCCUGAUAGGUGCAGAACGUCGGCUAUCAGAGCAAGCAUUGUGGAGCGGUUCCUUAUGCCAGGCUGCCAUGUGAGAUGAUCCAAGACCAAAACAAGGCCCUAGACUGCAGUAAAACCCAGAACUCAAGUAGGGCAGAAGGUGGAAGGCUCAUAUGGAUAGAAGGCCCAAAGUAUAAGACAGAUGGUUUGAGACUUGAGACCCGAGGACUAAGAUGGAAAGCCCAUGUUCCAAGAUAGAUAGAAGCCUCAGGCCUGAAACCAACAAAAGCCUCAAGAGCCAAGAAAACAGAGGGUGGCCUGAAUUGGACCGAAGGCCUGAGUUGGAUGGAAGUCUCAAGGCUUGAGUUAGAAGUCUUAAGACCUGGGACAGGACACAUGGAAGGCCUAAGAACUGAGACUUGUGACACAAGGCCAACGACCUAAGAUUAGCCCAGGGUUGUAGCUGGAAGACCUACAACCCAAGGAUGGAAGGCCCCUGUCACAAAGCCUACCUAGAUGGAUAGAGGACCCAAGCGAAAAAGGAGCAGACAUUCAUAUAGGUGAUACUGUAUUUCAGUCCUUUCUUUUGACCCCAGAAGCCCUAGACUGAGAAGAUAAAAUGGUCAGGUUGUUGGGGAAAAAAAAGUGCCAGGCUCUCUAGAGAAAAAUGUGAAGAGAUGCUCCAGGCCAAUGAGAAGAAUUAGACAAGAAAUACACAGAUGUGCCAGACUUCUGAGAAGCACCUGCCAGCAACAGCUUCCUUCUUUGAGCUUAGGUGAGCAGGAUUCUGGGGUUUGGGAUUUCUAGUGAUGGUUAUGGAAAGGGUGACUGUGCCUGGGACAAAGCGAGGUCCCAAGGGGACAGCCUGAACUCCCUGCUCAUAGUAGUGGCCAAAUAAUUUGGUGGACUGUGCCAACGCUACUCCUGGGUUUAAUACCCAUCUCUAGGCUUAAAGAUGAGAGAACCUGGGACUGUUGAGCAUGUUUAAUACUUUCCUUGAUUUUUUUCUUCCUGUUUAUGUGGGAAGUUGAUUUAAAUGACUGAUAAUGUGUAUGAAAGCACUGUAAAACAUAAGAGAAAAACCAAUUAGUGUAUUGGCAAUCAUGCAGUUAACAUUUGAAAGUGCAGUGUAAAUUGUGAAGCAUUAUGUAAAUCAGGGGUCC